UUUAAAAACAUACGCAUGUUUGUACGUAUGUAGUAUAUGUACAGCUAAUAUACAUAUAUAUAUAUAUAUAUAUAUAUAUAUAUAUUUAUAUAUAUUUGUCCCUGCUUUUUAUAUAACUUAUUUUUCUACCCUUUUUUUUUUUUUUUUUUUUUUUUUUUUUUUUUUUUUUUUUUUUUUUUUUUUUUUUUUUUUUUUUUUUUUUUUUUUUUUUUUUUUUUUUUUUUUUUUUUUUUUUUUUUAUUUGUGUUGUAAGAAGUGCGUGUAUGUAUGUUUAUACGCUCACGUGUUUAUGCGCUCGUGUGUUUAUGCGUUCGUGUGUUUAUGCGCUCAUGUGUUUAUGCGCUCAUGUGUUUAUGCGUUCGUGUUUUUAUACGCUCGUGUUUUUA
This 386-nucleotide long non-coding RNA is filed under the name Piliocolobus tephrosceles (Ugandan red Colobus). RNAcentral describes it as "lncRNA (ENSPTEG00000019647.1)". The record is from RNAcentral. Lineage: Eukaryota; Metazoa; Chordata; Mammalia; Primates; Cercopithecidae.